Long non-coding RNA from Homo sapiens (human), 1009 nucleotides. RefSeq annotates it as SYNE3 antisense RNA 1. The record is from RefSeq and is marked validated. Lineage: Eukaryota; Metazoa; Chordata; Mammalia; Primates; Hominidae. The transcript has 2 exons.
CCCCUCUUCGCCGCCUGCUCUGCUCUCCCAGGCACUACUGAGCGCGCUCGCGGUCGCCAGGAGCGGAUUGGGCCCCCGCCGCGCGCAAGCCUUGGUGACAGGGGAUGGCGCGGAGCUGCCUCUCCGGGAAAGUUGGAUCUGUGCGCCCAGACAUGGAAAAGGGAUUAGGACACCGGCAGAUCUUGCCCUCACAGAGCGGAGGUGGGGGCCUUGGAAGGGGCACACCGCCCGUAGGCGCGAAAUCCAAGAAGAAAAUGACACUCAUCAGCCAGCCUCGCGCGGGGAGAAAGGGCGGGGUGGGGGGUAGUGGCACCCUGCCCGUCCUCUCCCACCCCCACAGUCCGGGCCCACAGUCCAGGAGUCACAAGGGAUGUGAAUCCCCAGGCAUAAUGUGAACCCCCAACAAACCCAAGGCCUCAGAAUGCGCCUCACCUCUCCCUCCCCACCAGCAGAAACAUCCUCCCACUCUCCCAACCCCUGCUCCAGCCACGCCAACCCUUUAACCUUGUCCCAGAAUGUCUAAACUGUAUCUGCCUCUGUGCCUGUGCACAUGAAGUUGCCUUGGCCCGGCGUUUGCUCCACAGCCUUCUGCCAAACUCCUACUGCUUGAUGGCUGGAAGCCUUCGCACCCUGGCGCUCUCCUCCCAGGUCAGCAGUCACUGGCCUUCCUGUGCAUCCAGCCCAGCUUUGAACAGUCCUGGGCCCCAACCCUUAUCUUUUUCCGAGUAAUUACAUGGUUGCAUGAUUGGCUUCACCGCCUCUGGAUCAGAUGAGCGCUACUAAUGAAGGAUACAAGUUGUAAAACUAGGUUUUAUGUGAACUCCAGUCAUCACAGUUUAGGUGCGGCUAGCGAUUUUACAGAUGCGGGGUUAGUAACUGGCCCAAAUCCAGGGCUUCCGGGAUGCUGUUUUCCUUUUUUGUUUCUUAGCAGGGAUGGCAGAUGUUUGUAGAACAGAUCCGUGUAAAAGUCAGUAUCCUAAGAGAUUAAAUUGUAAAGCAGGACAAGAUA